This 559-nucleotide long non-coding RNA is filed under the name Homo sapiens (human). RNAcentral describes it as "long intergenic non-protein coding RNA 1278". Lineage: Eukaryota; Metazoa; Chordata; Mammalia; Primates; Hominidae. The record is from RNAcentral.
GGGGGCCUGGUGUGCUGGCAUCAAGUAAGCCGACUACCUCGGCAAAGGCUUAGGGACAAGAGACCAGCAGCCUGAACUGGCUGGGGCAUCCGGAAGGCUUAGAUCUUGUGGCCAAGAGUUCAGACCGUGGCGAAGUGGAGAGUGACAUGCAGUUGGAUGGCGGUGACUGCGUGAUGAUGUCAGAAGUGGGAUCCAAAGUAGAGCUUAUAAUGACACCUAGGAGUGCUGAGUGACCAAGCAAGGUACCCACCAGGCCGAUUAUGUCCAUUGUUCUCUUGGAGCAGCUGGUCAUCAUGGGAAAGGGUGCCACACUGGGAAUGCAAGCUGUCCUUGCUUCUGAACCAAGACUACUAUUGUGCCAGGAAGAGGGUGGGAAAAGAAGCCAAUAAAACUUUUCUUUUGAGUGAUUUGCAGCUUUUAACAAACUGAACCUGCUUAUUUCUGUGAACCAACCAGUGAUCUCUUAUGGCUGUUCAAAAGUAACAAGAGAGAUAUCACCUUUUGUCAUAACUCAAGUCUUAUGAAUGGCCCUCACCAUAAUGAUGCUUUUUGACUGAGC